Molecule: unclassified non-coding RNA, 260 nt
Filed under: Ascomycota sp.
Lineage: Eukaryota; Fungi; Ascomycota
Description: partial contains small subunit ribosomal RNA, internal transcribed spacer 1, and 5.8S ribosomal RNA
Rfam family: Eukaryotic small subunit ribosomal RNA (bases 1-47)
Source: RNAcentral
AAAGUCGUAACAAGGUCUCCGUUGGUGAACCAGCGGAGGGAUCAUUACAAGAAGCCGAAAGGCUACUUCAAACCAUCGCGAACUCGUCCAAGUUGCUUCGGCGGUGCGGGCUACCCCCCCCCCCGGGGGUCCCGCGGCGCCGCGCCUCCCCGGAGGUGCGGGGCGCCCGCCGGAGGUCAGAAACUCUUAUGUAUUAUAGUGGCAUCUCUGAGUAAAACACAAAUAAGUUAAAACUUUCAACAACGGAUCUCUUGGUUCUG